RNAcentral lists this ribosomal RNA (651 nucleotides) under uncultured Eubacteriales bacterium. RNAcentral describes it as "bacterial SSU rRNA". It matches the Rfam family "Bacterial small subunit ribosomal RNA", at positions 28 to 683 of the family's 1533-position model. The record is from RNAcentral. Lineage: Bacteria; Bacillati; Bacillota; Clostridia; Eubacteriales.
GAUGAACGCUGGCGGCGCAUUUAAGACAUGCAAGUCGAACGGAAAUAAGUUUGGUGUUUACAUUGAACUUAUUUUAGUGGCGGACGGGUGAGUAACACGUAGGUAACCUACCUUAGAGUAUGCAAUAACUAGAAGAAAUUUUAGAUAAUAGCAUAUAAGACCACAUCAUCACAUGAUGAAGCGGUAAAAGGAGUAAUUCGCUUUAAGAUGGACCUGCGGCUGAUUAGUUAGUUGGCGUGAUAACAGCACACCAAGACGAUGAUCAGUAGCCGAGCUGAGAGGCUGAUCGGCCACAUUGGGACUGAGACACGGCCCAGACUCCUACGGGAGGCAGCAGUUGGGAAUAUUGGACAAUGGAGGAAACUCUGAUCCAGUGACGUCGCGUGAAGGAAGAAGGUCUUCGGAUUGUAAACUUAUUUUAUCAGGGAAAAAACAAAUGAUGGUACCUGAAGAAAAAGCACCGGCAAACUACGUGCCAGCAGCCGCGGUAAUACGUAGGGUGCAAGCGUUAUCCGGAUUUACUGGGUAUAAAGGGUGAGUAGACGGCAAUGCAAGUCAGCUGUGAAACCUUGGAGCUCAACUCCAAGCCUGCAGCUGAAACUGUAUAGCUAGAGUACAGGAGAGGAAAGCGGAAUUCCUAGUGUAGCGGUG